This 1089-nucleotide long non-coding RNA is filed under the name Callithrix jacchus (white-tufted-ear marmoset). Its description in RNAcentral is "lncRNA (ENSCJAG00000079888.1)". Lineage: Eukaryota; Metazoa; Chordata; Mammalia; Primates; Cebidae. The record is from RNAcentral.
CGUCACCAGCCCUCGGCCCGCCCACGUCACUGCGGAGACACACGGCUUCCCGCAGACGCCGCCGCCGUCUCCGGCCGCCCGGGGGAGAGCGAGGGCGGCGGGGAGGGGGAGGGGAAGGAAACAGAGCCAGCGGCGGUGCCGCGCGCGCGGGCUCGCCGGCGUCGCCGGGGCCGCCACUUCGCGGCUCCCAGAUCUCUCGGAAACGCGCGCGCCGUCUGGCCUAUUGUGGCUCCUCAGAGCGCCCCCGACCCCUGGCCAGGUCGUCCCGCGCGCGCGUCCCUCCCCCAGGCGCGCGCGCCCGGCGCUCCUGGCCCCGCGCGCCGUCUGGGCGGCUGGCGCGCGGCGCUGUCUGCGGUGCACCCAGCGCAGACAGGAUGUUCCCUCCCCACUCCACCCUCACCGCCGCCCUCCCUCCUUCCUUCCUCUAGUCGCCCAGCCGGCUGUCUGGGGCCUCCGCCCCGCCCCCGCCCCACCCGCCGCUCUGUGGUGAAGGGCCAGACCCUGGGGCGCCCUGGACGCUCGGCCGCCGCGCGGCGGGGAAGAGGGGGCAGGGCAGCCGCGCCGUGCACUGUGCGCGACCCCAGCAGCCCGCAGGGCGGAGGCAGUGCCCGCCCGGCAGAGCGCCGCCGCCCGAGGUCAGGCACGGGCGACCCUCCCCCCGCGGGGCCGCAGCUGGGCCGCCCCGCCCCGGAGGCAGCCGGGCGGCGACCGCCCUGCAGGGCCCCCGGGGCCGGCUCCACUCCCCGCCCCCGCGGGACCUCCCUCCUGGGCUGCCCCUCGCCCCCGCGGGGCCUCCGGCCCGAGGGCCGCCCAGCCAGCUGCCAGAGCUCCGCCCCGUCCCGGCGGCCCCAGCCUCGCCAGGGCGGCCUCCACCCAGACGCCUUCCCCUGGCUGACCUCCAUCCGCCAUCGGGUCGGGCGGGAGGGGUGGCCAAAGUUCCGGCACAACCGUGAGCAAACAUUUCUGUCUCUGCUCCCCAGGCUCCUGCCCCCAGCCCACCAGGCUGCUCUCUCGGUUCCAGAGGGGAGCUAUAAAUUACAGGUUUCUACAGUGUUUACUGAGGGUUUUUUUUUUUUUUUUUUUUUUUAA